UACGAAGGGUGCAAGCGUUAAUCGGAAUUACUGGGCGUAAAGCGCGCGUAGGUGGUUCAGCAAGUUGGAUGUGAAAGCCCUGGGCUCAACCUGGGAACUGCAUCCAAAACUACUGAGCUAGAGUACGGUAGAGGGUAGUGGAAUUUCCUGUGUAGCGGUGAAAUGCGUAGAUAUAGGAAGGAACACCAGUGGCGAAGGCGCCUUACUGGCCGAUUACUGACACUGAGGGACGAAAGCUAGGGGAGCAAACAGGAUUAGAUACCCGUGUAGU
Molecule: ribosomal RNA, 271 nt
Filed under: uncultured bacterium
Lineage: Bacteria
Description: partial 16S ribosomal RNA
Rfam family: Bacterial small subunit ribosomal RNA
Source: RNAcentral